RNAcentral lists this ribosomal RNA (640 nucleotides) under uncultured bacterium. RNAcentral's name for it is "bacterial SSU rRNA". It matches the Rfam family "Bacterial small subunit ribosomal RNA", at positions 202 to 842 of the family's 1533-position model. The record is from RNAcentral.
GAAAGAUUCAUCGGAAGAGGAUGGGCAUGCGGCGCAUUAGCUAGACGGCGGGGUAACGGCCCACCGUGGCGACGAUGCGUAGGGGUUCUGAGAGGAAGGUCCCCCACACUGGUACUGAGACACGGACCAGACUCCUACGGGAGGCAGCAGUGAGGAAUAUUGGUCAAUGGGAGAGAUCCUGAACCAGCCAAGCCGCGUGAGGGAAGACGGCCCUAUGGGUUGUAAACCUCUUUUGUCGGAGAACAAAACCCGGGACGUGUCCCGGACUGCGUGUAUCCGAAGAAAAAGCAUCGGCUAACUCCGUGCCAGCAGCCGCGGUGAUACGGAGGAUGCGAGCGUUAUCCGGAUUUAUUGGGUUUAAAGGGUGCGUAGGCGGUCCGUUAAGUCAGCGGUAAAAUUGCGGGGCUCAACCCCGUCAAGCCGUUGAAACUGGCAGACUUGAGUUGGCGAGAAGUACGCGGAAUGCGCGGUGUAGCGGUGAAAUGCAUAGAUAUCGCGCAGAACUCCGAUUGCGAAGGCAGCGUACCGGCGCCAGACUGACGCUGAGGCACGAAAGCGUGGGGAUCGAACAGGAUUAGAUACCCUGGUAGUCCACGCAGUAAACGAUGAAUGCUGGUUGUCCGGGUCGAAUGAGAUCUGG